This 497-nucleotide ribosomal RNA is filed under the name uncultured bacterium. RNAcentral's name for it is "partial 16S ribosomal RNA". It matches the Rfam family "Bacterial small subunit ribosomal RNA", at positions 28 to 507 of the family's 1533-position model. The record is from RNAcentral.
GAUGAACGCUGGCGGCGUGCCUAACACAUGCAAGUCGAGCGAAAGGACGAGGAGUUGUCGUGCCUGAGUUUGUCGCCGGAGGGGUGAUUAACAUAGGGAUAACAUAACUAUACGACUGGGGUGAUUACACGAAACAGUAUCUAAGGCCGGAAAAUAUUUUGACCCGGAUGGUUCAAGAGUGAAAGACGGUCUUGCUGUGACUAAUAGAUGGAUACGCGCUGCAUUAGUUAGUUGGUAAGGUGACGGCUUACCAAGGCUACGAUGGAUAGACGACCUGAGAGCGUGGAUCGCCAGACUGGAAGUGAGACACGGCCCCGACUCCUACGGGAAGCAACAGUCGGGACUCUUCCGCGAUGGGGGAGAGCGUGAUGUAGCAACGCCGCGUGAGUGAUGAUGGUCUACGGAUCGUAAAGCUCUGUUAGUAGGGGGGAAGAUAUGUGUAUUUAACUGUGCAGAUCAUGACGGUACCGAGAGAAUAAGCCCCGGCUAACUCCGUG